GAUGAACGCUGGCGGCGCACUUAAUGCAUACAAGUCGAACGGACCGACAGAUAGUGGGUGGUUUCGGCGUAUCAACUGUAGGCGGUUAGUGGCGAACGGGUGAGUAACACGUAGGCGACCUGUCCCGAAGAGGGGGAUAACCGCUGGAAACGACGGCUAAUACCCCAUGUGCUCCGUGGUGUUUGAGGACCACGGAGGAAAGUUCCGGCGCUUUGGGAGGGGCCUGCGGCCUAUCAGCUAGUUGGUGAGGUAACGGCUCACCAAGGCAAUGACGGGUAGGGGGCCUGAGAGGGUGGUCCCCCACACUGGCACUGAGACACGGGCCAGACUCCUACGGGAGGCAGCAGCAGGGAAUAUUGCGCAAUGGGCGAAAGCCAGACGCAGUGACGCCGCGUGGAGGAUGAAGGCUCUCGGGUUGUAAACUCCUUUUCCGGGGGACGAGGAAGGACGGUACCCCGGGAAUAAGCCCCGGCUAACUACGUG
This 483-nucleotide ribosomal RNA is filed under the name uncultured bacterium. RNAcentral describes it as "bacterial SSU rRNA". It matches the Rfam family "Bacterial small subunit ribosomal RNA", at positions 28 to 507 of the family's 1533-position model. The record is from RNAcentral.